GUCCUUAGUUACCAGCACGUUAUGUGGGCACUCUAAGGAGACUGCCGGUGACAAACCGGAGGGAAGGUGGGGAGUGACGUCAAGUCAUCAUGGCCCUUACGGCCUGGGCUACACACGUGCUACAAUGGUCGGUACAAAGGGUUGCCAAGCCGCGAGGUGGAGCUAAUCCCAUAAAACCGAUCGUAGUCCGGAUCGCAGUCUGCAACUCGACUGCGUGAAGUCGGAAUCGCUAGUAAUCGUGAAUCAGAAUGUCACGGUGAAUACGUUCCCGGGCCUU
RNAcentral lists this ribosomal RNA (277 nucleotides) under uncultured Pseudomonadaceae bacterium. Its description in RNAcentral is "partial 16S ribosomal RNA". It matches the Rfam family "Bacterial small subunit ribosomal RNA", at positions 1107 to 1382 of the family's 1533-position model. Lineage: Bacteria; Pseudomonadati; Pseudomonadota; Gammaproteobacteria; Pseudomonadales; Pseudomonadaceae. The record is from RNAcentral.